Cercocebus atys (sooty mangabey) is the source of this 2322-nucleotide RNA transcript. It is a transcript of the gene named pyruvate kinase PKM pseudogene, with no coding region annotated. The transcript has a single exon. The record is from RefSeq and is a predicted model, not a curated record. Lineage: Eukaryota; Metazoa; Chordata; Mammalia; Primates; Cercopithecidae.
CACAGCAGCUGCACGUCCCUGGGAUCCACAUCUCUUCCAGUUUGCAGCGUAGCCCGAGUCGGUCAGCGCCGGAGGACCUCAGCAGCCAUGUCGAAGCCCCAUAGUGAAGCCGGGACUGCCUUCAUUCAGACCCAGCAGCUGCAUGCAGCCAUGGCUGACACAUUCCUGGAGCACAUGUGCCGCCUGGACAUUGACUCACCACCCACCACAGCCCGGAACACUGGCAUCAUCUGUACCAUUGGCCCAGCUUCCCGAUCAGUGGAGACGUUGAAGGAGAUGAUUAAGUCUGGAAUGAAUGUGGCUCUUCUGAACUUCUCUCAUGGAACUCAUGAGUACCACGCGGAGACUAUCAAGAAUGUGCGCACAGCCACGGAAGGCUUUGCUUCUGACCCCAUCCUCUACCGGCCCGUUGCUGUGGCUCUGGACACUAAAGGACCUGAGAUUCGAACUGGGCUCAUCAAGGGCAGUGGCACUGCAGAGGUGGUGCUGAAGAAGGGAGCCACUCUCAAAAUCACGCUGGAUAACGCCUACAUGGAAAAGUGUGACGAGAACAUCCUGUGGCUGGACUACAAGAACAUCUGCAAAGUGGUGGAAGUGGGCAGCAAGAUCUACGUGGAUGAUGGACUUAUUUCUCUUCAGGUGAAGCAGAAAGGUGCUGACUUCCUGGUGACGGAGGUGGAAAAUGGUGGCUCCUUGGGCAGCAAGAAGGGUGUGAACCUUCCUGGGGCUGCUGUGGACUUGCCUGCUGUGUCGGAAAAGGACAUCCAGGAUCUGAAGUUUGGGGUCGAGCAGAAUGUCGAUAUAGUGUUUGCGUCGUUCAUCCUCAAGGCAGCUGAUGUCCAUGAAGUUAGGAAGGUCCUGGGAGAGAAGGGAAAGAACAUCAAGAUAAUCAGCAAAAUCGAGAAUCAUGAGGGGGUUCGGAGGUUUGAUGAAAUCCUGGAGGCCAGUGAUAGGAUCAUGGUGGCUCGUGGUGAUCUAGGCAUUGAGAUUCCUGCGGAGAAGGUCUUCCUUGCUCAGAAGAUGAUGAUUGGGUGGUGCAACCGAGCUGGGAAGCCUGUCAUCUGUGCUACUCGGAUGCUGGAGAGCAUGAUCAAGAAGCCCCGCCCCACCUGGGCUGAAGGCAGUGAUGUGGCCAAUUCAAUUCUGGAUGGAGCCGACUGCAUCAUGCUGUCUGGAGAAACAGCCAAAGGGGACUAUCCUCGGGAGGCUGUGCACAUGAAGCACCUGAUUGCCCGUGAAGCAGAGGCCGCCAUCUACCACUUGCAAUUAUUUGAGGAACUCCGCCGCCUGGCGCCCAUUACCAGGGACCCCACAGAAGCCACUGCCGUGGGUGCCGUGGAGGCCUCCUUCAAGUGCUGCAGUGGGGCCAUAAUCGUCCCCACCAAGUCUGGCAGGUCUGCUCACCAGAUACCGCCCACAUGCCCCCAUCAUUGCUGUGACCCGGAAUCCCCAGACAGUUCGUCAGGCCCACCUGUACUGUGGCAUCUUCCCUGUGCUGUGCAAGGACCCAGUCCAGGAGGCCUGGGCUGAGGACGUGGACCUCCAGGUGAACUUUGCCAUGAAUGUUGGCAAGGCCCAAGGCUUCUUCAAGAAGGGAGAUGUGGUCAUCGUGCUGACCGGAUGGCGCCCUGGCUCCGGCUUCACCAACACCAUGCGUGUUGUUCCUGUGCCGUGAUGAACCUGAGAGCCCUUCCUCCAGCCCCUGUCCCACUCCCUUCCCCCAACCCAUCCAUUAGGCCAGCAACGCUUGCAGAACUCACUCUGGGCUGUAAUGUGGCACUGGCGGGCUGGGACACCAGGGAAGAAGAUUAGUGCCUCGCUGAAACAUGGCUGUGUUUGCAGCCUGCUCUAGUGGGACAGCCCAGAGCCUGGCUGCCCAUCAUGUGGCCCCACCCAAUCAAGGGAAGAAGGAGGAAUGCUGGACUGGAGGCCCCUGGAGCCAGAUGGCAAGAGGGUGACAGCUUCCUUUCCUGUGUAUACUCCGUCCAGUUCCUUGAGAAAAAAUGGAUGCCCAGAGGACUCCCAACCCUGGCCUGGGGUCAGGAAACAGCUAGAGAGUUAGGGGCCUUAGGGCACAGGGCUGUUGUUCCCUUGAAGCUGACUCUGGCCCUGGCCCUUACUUGCUUCCCCAGCCCCCUGGGCCUCCCUAGUUCGCACCUGUCCACGCCCUCCACUCAGCUGUCCUGCAGCAAACACUCCACCCUCCACCUUCCAUUUUCCCCCACUACUGCAGACUACUGCAGCGCCUCCAGGCCUGUUGCUAUAGAGCCUACCUGUAUGUCAAUAAACAACAGCUGAAGCAAAAAAAAAAAAAAAAAAAAA